UUUGUUUAUGUCCCUUUUAGGAGUUGGCCCCUCUGUUUCUAUUCUCUGAACAAAGACCGCUUCCAGUCUAAUCAUCCAUGUCGAUCCAAACUCACCCAGCGGUGCAAAAUUGAAUAAAAUAAAUAAAGUAAUAUUAGUUUCUACUGCUCCUUUUUUAUAUUAAUCAUGUUCAUCACUAGUCUAAAUGAGAAAAGAAACAAACAAGAUCGUUUAAAUAAUUUGUAGAUUCUAUGGCUUUGAAAUAAAAAUUUUCUUGGCAUGUCCUUGUCGGUUUUAAUAAUUGGGUUUAUACCCUUUUCGUCAACUAAUACGAUGUUCAGAACCCUGUAGAUUCAUUGUGUCUGAUACAUUUAUAAAUAUUAGGUGUAAAUUGUAAUCCACAUGUGACCUGUUCUGCUCUGGUUCUGUUUCUGAUCUGAUCUCUGUUUCAAGAAUCAGUUUUCUUUUCUUGACCAGAUCUCGCUCUCACCUAUCCCUGAGAUUAUUCAGUUGGUAAACUGGGUUUGUUUAGAGGGAGAGAAUUGGAUUAGUUUUGUUUGUUUAAAGAUUGAAUUUAUCUGAUAUUGAGAUGGGGAGUCACUGCUCUAAGCUCACACCAUGCUGCUGGGAUUCACAGUUCAAAGCAGCAGCAGUUGUCGAAGUUCCUGAUGCUAUUGGUAAUGGAGGGAAGAGUGAGGUUGAUCACUUGCCUGUGUUCCGCGAGUUCACGGUCGAGCAGCUCAAGAAUGCAACUUCAGGUUUCGCUGUAGAAAACAUAGUGUCUGAGCAUGGAGAGAAGGCUCCAAAUGUUGUUUAUAAAGGGAAGCUGGAAAACCAGAGGAGGAUUGCUGUUAAGCGCUUUAAUAGAAUGGCUUGGCCAGAUGCUCGACAAUUUUCGGAGGAAGCAAGAGCAGUUGGUCAGCUCCGCAACCAUAGACUGGCAAAUUUGCUU
RNAcentral lists this unclassified non-coding RNA (931 nucleotides) under Hevea brasiliensis (rubber tree). Lineage: Eukaryota; Viridiplantae; Streptophyta; Magnoliopsida; Malpighiales; Euphorbiaceae. The record is from RNAcentral.